Molecule: ribosomal RNA, 235 nt
Filed under: uncultured Eubacteriales bacterium
Lineage: Bacteria; Bacillati; Bacillota; Clostridia; Eubacteriales
Description: uncultured Clostridiales bacterium partial 16S ribosomal RNA
Rfam family: Bacterial small subunit ribosomal RNA
Source: RNAcentral
CGAACGGGUGAGUAACGCGUGAGUAACCUGCCUUACACAAGGGGAUAGCCUUUGGAAACGAAGAAUAAUACCCUAUAAAACUAUAAAAGCACAUGCUAGAAUGGUCAAAGUGCUAGCGGUGUAAGAUGGACUUGCGUCUGAUUAGCUAGUUUGUGAGAUAAAAGCUCACCAAGGCAACGAUCAGUAGCCGGCUUGAGAGAGUGUACGGCCACAUUGGGACUGAGACACGGCCCAG